Molecule: unclassified non-coding RNA, 306 nt
Filed under: plant metagenome
Description: partial contains 5.8S ribosomal RNA, internal transcribed spacer 2, and large subunit ribosomal RNA
Rfam family: 5.8S ribosomal RNA (bases 1-105)
Source: RNAcentral
GAAAUGCGAUAAGUAAUGUGAAUUGCAGAAUUCAGUGAAUCCUCGAAUCUUUGAACGCACAUUGCGCCCGCCAGUAUUCUGGCGGGCAUGCCUGUCCGAGCGUCAUUUCAACCAUCAAGCCCCCGGGCUUGUGUUGGGGACCUGCGGCUGCCCGCAGGCCCUGAAAACCAGUGGCGGGCUCGCUGUCACACCGAGCGUAGUAGCAAUCACCUCGCUCAGGGCGUGCUGCGGGUUCCGGCCGUUAAACAGCCUUACAAAACCCAAGGUUGACCUCGGAUCAGGUAGGAAGACCCGCUGAACUUAAGC